Molecule: ribosomal RNA, 449 nt
Filed under: uncultured bacterium
Lineage: Bacteria
Description: bacterial SSU rRNA
Rfam family: Bacterial small subunit ribosomal RNA
Source: RNAcentral
UGGGGAAUAUUGCGCAAUGGGGGAAACCCUGACGCAGCGACGCCGCGUGGGUGAUGAAGGCCUUCGGGUCGUAAACCACUGUCGCGAGGGAAGAAGAUCUGACGGUACCUCGCGAAUAAGCCACGGCUAACUACGUGCCAGCAGCCGCGGUAAUACGUAGGUGGCAAGCGUUGUCCGGAUUUACUGGGCGUAAAGAGCCCGCAGGCGGUCCAAUAAGUUCUUGGUGAAAUCUCCUGGCUCAACUGGGAGGGUGCCUGGAAAACUGUUGGACUUGAGGCAGGGAGAGGGAUGUGGAAUUCCCGGUGUAGUGGUGAAAUGCGUAGAUAUCGGGAGGAACACCAGUGGCGAAGGCGGCAUCCUGGCCCUGUCCUGACGCUCAGGGGCGAAAGCGUGGGGAGCAAACCGGAUUAGAUACCCGAGUAGUCCCUGAGCGGGCUGGCAAGGCGCAU